GGAUUAAUGGCAGAGUGGUCGAUUGCGGUGAACUUGAAAUUCACUUUAUGGAGACAUAACAGAGGUUCGAAUCCUCUUUAAUCCG
This is a non-coding RNA of Neopestalotiopsis sp. 37M, 85 nucleotides long. The record is from the annotation of a GenBank genome assembly. NCBI's taxonomy places the organism in Eukaryota, Fungi, Ascomycota, Sordariomycetes, Amphisphaeriales, Sporocadaceae.